This 1477-nucleotide ribosomal RNA is filed under the name uncultured bacterium. RNAcentral's name for it is "16S ribosomal RNA". It matches the Rfam family "Bacterial small subunit ribosomal RNA". The record is from RNAcentral.
GACGAACGCUGGCGGCGUGCUUAACACAUGCAAGUCGAACGGAAAGGCCCUGCUUUUGUGGGGUGCUCGAGUGGCGAACGGGUGAGUAACACGUGAGUAACCUGCCCUUGACUUUGGGAUAACUUCAGGAAACUGGGGCUAAUACCGGAUAGGAGCUCCUGCUGCAUGGUGGGGGUUGGAAAGUUUCGGCGGUUGGGGAUGGACUCGCGGCUUAUCAGCUUGUUGGUGGGGUAGUGGCUUACCAAGGCUUUGACGGGUAGCCGGCCUGAGAGGGUGACCGGCCACAUUGGGACUGAGAUACGGCCCAGACUCCUACGGGAGGCAGCAGUGGGGAAUAUUGCACAAUGGGCGGAAGCCUGAUGCAGCAACGCCGCGUGCGGGAUGACGGCCUUCGGGUUGUAAACCGCUUUCGCCUGUGACGAAGCGUGAGUGACGGUAAUGGGUAAAGAAGCACCGGCUAACUACGUGCCAGCAGCCGCGGUGAUACGUAGGGUGCGAGCGUUGUCCGGAUUUAUUGGGCGUAAAGGGCUCGUAGGUGGUUGAUCGCGUCGGAAGUGUAAUCUUGGGGCUUAACCCUGAGCGUGCUUUCGAUACAGGUUGACUUGAGGAAGGUAGGGGAGAAUGGAAUUCCUGGUGGAGCGGUGGAAUGCGCAGAUAUCAGGAGGAACACCAGUGGCGAAGGCGGUUCUCUGGGCCUUUCCUGACGCUGAGGAGCGAAAGCGUGGGGAGCGAACAGGCUUAGAUACCCUGGUAGUCCACGCUGUAAACGGUGGGUACUAGGUGUGGGGUCCAUUCCACGGGUUCCGUGCCGUAGCUAACGCUUUAAGUACCCCGCCUGGGGAGUACGGCCGCAAGGCUAAAACUCAAAGGAAUUGACGGGGCCCCGCACAAGCGGCGGAGCAUGCGGAUUAAUUCGAUGCAACGCGUAGAACCUUACCUGGGUUUGACAUGGAUCGGGAGUGCUCAGAGAUGGGUGUGCCUCUUUUGGGGUCGGUUCACAGGUGGUGCAUGGCUGUCGUCAGCUCGUGUCGUGAGAUGUUGGGUUAAGUCCCGCAACGAGCGCAACCCUUGUUCACUGUUGCCAGCACGUUAUGGUGGGGACUCAGUGGGGACCGCCGGGGUCAACUCGGAGGAAGGUGGGGAUGACGUCAAGUCAUCAUGCCCCUUAUGUCCAGGGCUUCACGCAUGCUACAAUGGCUGGUACAGAGAGUGGCGAGCCUGUGAGGGUGAGCGAAUCUCGGAAAGCCGGUCUCAGUUCGGAUUGGGGUCUGCAACUCGACCUCAUGAAGUCGGUGUCGCUAGUAAUCGCAGAUCAGCAACGCUGCGGUGAAUACGUUCCCGGGGCUUGUACACACCGCCCGUCAAGUCAUGAAAGUUGGUAACACCCGAAGCCGGUGGCCUAACCGUUGUGGGGGAGCCGUCGAAGGUGGGACUGGUGAUUAGGACUAAGUCGUAACAAGGUAGCCGUACCGGAAGG